Molecule: ribosomal RNA, 308 nt
Filed under: Monacha cartusiana
Lineage: Eukaryota; Metazoa; Mollusca; Gastropoda; Stylommatophora; Hygromiidae
Description: partial large subunit ribosomal RNA
Source: RNAcentral
AAUCAGUUGGCUUAUAAUUGAAGUCUAGUAUGAAUGGGAGCUCGGGGAUAUCUGUCCUUUAUUUACGAUUAGAAAUUACUAAUUAAGUGAAAAUUCUUAAACCUUUAGAAAAAAGACGAGAAGACCCUAGAAAUUUUUUAUUAUAUAUUUUGUUGGGGCGACAAGGUAACAUAAAACUUACCUAUACAAUAGGAAAUUUUUUAGUUGGGUAAAUAAAUUACUCUAGGGAUAACAGCAUAAUAUUUUAAAGUUUGUGACCUCGAUGUUGGACUAGGAAAUACCCUACUUAAAAGGUAGUUUAUAUAGUU